Molecule: ribosomal RNA, 468 nt
Filed under: uncultured bacterium
Lineage: Bacteria
Description: partial 16S ribosomal RNA
Rfam family: Bacterial small subunit ribosomal RNA (bases 20-332)
Source: RNAcentral
GACGAACGCUGGCGGCGUGCUUAACACAUGCAAGUCGAACGGAAAGGCCCUGCUUUUGUGGGGUGCUCGAGUGGCGAACGGGUGAGUAACACGUGAGUAACCUGCCCUUGACUUUGGGAUAACUUCAGGAAACUGGGGCUAAUACCGGAUAGGAGCUCCUGCUGCAUGGUGGGGGUUGGAAAGUUUCGGCGGUUGGGGAUGGACUCGCGGCUUAUCAGCUUGUUGGUGGGGUAGUGGCUUACCAAGGCUUUGACGGGUAGCCGGCCUGAGAGGGUGACCGGGCGAAGUGGGAGUGAAAGAGGGCCAGGACGCGAACGGGGGGCAGCGGGGGGGCAGGGGGGAGAAGGGGUGGGGCGGGGAGGAAGCGGCGUCGGGGGGGGGAGGAGGGGAGUGGGGGGGUAGACCGAUUGAGCCUGUGACGAAGAGUGAGCGAGGGGAAUGGGUAAAGAAGCAGAGGCUAACGACGUG